Molecule: ribosomal RNA, 1443 nt
Filed under: uncultured organism
Description: SSU rRNA
Rfam family: Bacterial small subunit ribosomal RNA
Source: RNAcentral
ACGCUAGCUACAGGCUUAACACAUGCAAGUCGAGGGGCAGCAUGGUCUUAGCUUGCUAAGGCCGAUGGCGACCGGCGCACGGGUGAGUAACACGUAUCCAACCUGCCGUCUACUCUUGGACAGCCUUCUGAAAGGAAGAUUAAUACAAGAUGGCAUCAUGAGUCCGCAUGUUCACAUGAUUAAAGGUAUUCCGGUAGACGAUGGGGAUGCGUUCCAUUAGAUAGUAGGCGGGGUAACGGCCCACCUAGUCUUCGAUGGAUAGGGGUUCUGAGAGGAAGGUCCCCCACAUUGGAACUGAGACACGGUCCAAACUCCUACGGGAGGCAGCAGUGAGGAAUAUUGGUCAAUGGGCGAGAGCCUGAACCAGCCAAGUAGCGUGAAGGAUGACUGCCCUAUGGGUUGUAAACUUCUUUUAUAAAGGAAUAAAGUCGGGUAUGGAUACCCGUUUGCAUGUACUUUAUGAAUAAGGAUCGGCUAACUCCGUGCCAGCAGCCGCGGUAAUACGGAGGAUCCGAGCGUUAUCCGGAUUUAUUGGGUUUAAAGGGAGCGUAGAUGGAUGUUUAAGUCAGUUGUGAAAGUUUGCGGCUCAACCGUAAAAUUGCAGUUGAUACUGGAUAUCUUGAGUGCAGUUGAGGCAGGCGGAAUUCGUGGUGUAGCGGUGAAAUGCUUAGAUAUCACGAAGAACUCCGAUUGCGAAGGCAGCCUGCUAAGCUGCAACUGACAUUGAGGCUCGAAAGUGUGGGUAUCAAACAGGAUUAGAUACCCUGGUAGUCCACACGGUAAACGAUGAAUACCCGCUGUUUGCGAUAUACUGCAAGCGGCCAAGCGAAAGCGUUAAGUAUUCCACCUGGGGAGUACGCCGGCAACGGUGAAACUCAAAGGAAUUGACGGGGGCCCGCACAAGCGGAGGAACAUGUGGUUUAAUUCGAUGAUACGCGAGGAACCUUACCCGGGCUUAAAUUGCAGAUGAAUUACGGUGAAAGCCGUAAGCCGCAAGGCAUCUGUGAAGGUGCUGCAUGGUUGUCGUCAGCUCGUGCCGUGAGGUGUCGGCUUAAGUGCCAUAACGAGCGCAACCCUUGUUGUCAGUUACUAACAGGUUCCGCUGAGGACUCUGACAAGACUGCCAUCGUAAGAUGUGAGGAAGGUGGGGAUGACGUCAAAUCAGCACGGCCCUUACGUCCGGGGCUACACACGUGUUACAAUGGGGGGUACAGAGGGCCGCUACCACGCGAGUGGAUGCCAAUCCCCAAAACCUCUCUCAGUUCGGACUGGAGUCUGCAACCCGACCCCACGAAGCUGGAUUCGCUAGUAAUCGCGCAUCAGCCACGGCGCGGUGAAUACGUUCCCGGGCCUUGUACACACCGCCCGUCAAGCCAUGGGAGCCGGGGGUACCUGAAGUGCGUAACCGCGAGGAGCGCCCUAGGGUAAAACUGGUGACUGGGG